Long non-coding RNA from Malaya genurostris, 961 nucleotides. RefSeq lists it as uncharacterized. The record is from RefSeq and is a predicted model, not a curated record. Lineage: Eukaryota; Metazoa; Arthropoda; Insecta; Diptera; Culicidae. The transcript has 2 exons.
AUUGAAUGGUCGAAUCAGUACUGCCUGACUCAGUGACAAUGAAGGUCAGAAUUCUAAUAGUGACUGUGUUUAUAUUAUUGCUGGUCCAGCAGCCAGCUGAUUGUUUUCCAGCGUCAUCCAUGGAUCCGUCAGCUACAUCGGAACAGCCUGUUAAUACUAGCACCGUUAGAACGAAGCCACCGUUCAAUCCUCUACGAUGGCUUAUUUCGAAAUCAGGAGCUCUGUUUAGUCGGGGUGUACAUCUGUAAGGCGACAAUAGGUGGGAACUACCAUCGUAUACAUUUCUAAAUGCGAGUAUUUAUUAUUGAAAAUGCGAAGAAAAAAAACCUUGAACGAGUCACCAUACAAACCUUCAUAUCGUGUUUCACUCGGAUGCUACCGGGGUGACGAAUGGCGUCGGUACUGCAACUUAGACUAUAGAAAUGGAAAUGAAACACGAUCAGAGUCUUGCUUUGUUUUUGUUUGACAUUUGAUACCCCGCAACGCACGAAACUUUAAAGUGUCAGUUAUAUGCAAAAGAAAAUAUUCAAUGGUAAUUUCAACUAGAACGGACUAAUAAUUCAAAGUCAAUCAUAACAAAACUAGAGUUGUGUAAUACCAUCCAAUCGACAUUAAUUGCUGUCAUACCGGUUACGCAAAGCCUGCUACGAUUGUAGCUCCAGCAAAUUACGCAAACGUCGUGCGUCGGAAACACCAACAGCAACGCUGAGACGGACGACGGACCAAAACUUCACGUGCCGAAGCAGCAAAGAUGAACCACAAACAACGUGUUCGGAAAGGCUUAGAAAAGUAAAAACUUUCUGGCAUUGCCAACAUUUUCGUGUUGUUUGGUAUCAACAAGCGGUUUAUUUGAUAAAACUUCGACCUAUUCUACCCUUAAUGGCAACGUGUUCACACCAAUACUUGUACAGGAAAGUUUGUAACAUGACAUUUUUCACUCAGCUCACACAAAAAAGAAAAA